Molecule: ribosomal RNA, 301 nt
Filed under: uncultured bacterium
Lineage: Bacteria
Description: partial 16S ribosomal RNA
Rfam family: Bacterial small subunit ribosomal RNA
Source: RNAcentral
CAGUCGCCGCGGUAAUACAGAGGGUGCGAGCGUUAAUCGGAUUUACUGGGCGUAAAGCGUGCGUAGGCGGCUUCUUAAGUCGGAUGUGAAAUCCCUGAGCUUAACUUAGGAAUUGCAUUCGAUACUGGGAAGCUAGAGUAUGGGAGAGGAUGGUAGAAUUCCAGGUGUAGCGGUGAAAUGCGUAGAGAUCUGGAGGAAUACCGAUGGCGAAGGCAGCCAUCUGGCCUAAUACUGACGCUGAGGUACGAAAGCAUGUGGAGCAAACAGGAUUAGAUACCCCAGUAGUCCCUGUCUCUUAUAC